Taeniopygia guttata (zebra finch) is the source of this 73-nucleotide microRNA precursor. The record is from Ensembl. Lineage: Eukaryota; Metazoa; Chordata; Aves; Passeriformes; Estrildidae.
AAAAUUUGGGGUGAAAGGCUCUGCCAUCAGCCUGGUUGCCAGGCAGUGUAGUUAGCUGAUUGCCCAAAGCAAC